Molecule: ribosomal RNA, 508 nt
Filed under: uncultured bacterium
Lineage: Bacteria
Description: bacterial SSU rRNA
Rfam family: Bacterial small subunit ribosomal RNA
Source: RNAcentral
AGAGUUGAUCCUGGCUUAGGAUGAACGCUGGCGGCGUGCUUAACACAUGCAAGUCGAACGAAGCAGUUAUCACGAUCCCUCGGGUGACGAUUUACUGACUGAGUGGCGGACGGGUGAGUAACGCGUGGGUAACCUGCCUUGUACAGGGGGACAACAGUUGGAAACGACUGCUAAUACCGCAUAAGCGCACGAUGUCGCAUGACAAAGUGUGAAAAGAUUUAUCGGUACAAGAUGGACCCGCGUCUGAUUAGCUAGUUGGUGAGGUAACGGCCCACCAAGGCGACGAUCAGUAGCCGACCUGAGAGGGUGACCGGCCACAUUGGGACUGAGACACGGCCCAAACUCCUACGGGAGGCAGCAGUGGGGAAUAUUGCACAAUGGGCGAAAGCCUGAUGCAGCCGACGCCGCGUGAGCGAAGAAGUAUUUCGGUAUGUAAAGCUCUAUCAGCAGGGAAGAUAAUGACGGUACCUGACUAAGAAGCACCGGCUAAAUACGUGCCAGCAGCGGC